RNAcentral lists this long non-coding RNA (304 nucleotides) under Panax ginseng (ginseng). RNAcentral describes it as "long non-coding RNA (PGIN_LNC012094)". The record is from RNAcentral. Lineage: Eukaryota; Viridiplantae; Streptophyta; Magnoliopsida; Apiales; Araliaceae.
ACAAAUAAAGAAUACCAUGUCAUUUAAUAGUCUUAAAAGAUAUGCAUCUUUUUUUGUAAAAAAAAGGCAAUAUAUAUAGUAAAAAGGGUGCACGUUUCUUAGAAUGGAGUAUAUCUACAAUUUAAAAAAGAAUGGAGUAUCUUUAACCAACAAAGGAUUAUAAAUGAAGACCAUGGUUUAUGAAACAUUUGCACAAAAUAGUGCUUCAUAGUGGCUCAAUAUAUUAACUUUUGAUUCUCCAUUGCGUAAUUUUGUCAAGCACUAUGUCAAAAUAGUGCUUCGUACCAUUGCCAUUCUAUUUCUG